AUGCCUUUUUUUUGGUCAUCAUCAAACAACGAUAAUAAUGAUGAAAAAGGUAAAACAAAUAAAAAUGAAGACAUACCACCACCACUACUUAACAAUGCAUUUAUAACUGAGAAUAUGAAUAUUGUAACAAAUUUACAAAAAGAGUUAAACCUAUUAAAAAAUAGCGUCAAAAAAUCAGACACAUUUUUAGAUGAUGUGUUCCCAACUUUUGAAAAUAAUUUAGUAAAAAAUGUUGAAAAUAAAAUUAAAAAAUAUUUAGAAAUAUAUAAAAAAGAUAUAAUAAAUGAAAUAAAUGAGUCGAAAAGUGUAUAUAAUGAAGAAAAAUAUAAAAAAAUAGAACUAAAACAAGAAAAAAUACAAAAGGAAUUAUUAAUCAUGAUAAAUAAUCAAAUAAAAACAGAAACAAAUAUAAUCAAAGAAGAUUUUAAUAAAACAUUUACAAAUCUGUUAGAAAGUAGUGUUAGUAGUGGUAAAAAAAAUGAUCCUACAUAUACUCCUCAAAUAAAUACAAAAAAUUAUAGUUCCUUUGAAAUAUUACAACAAAAAGUAAACGAAUUAUAUAAUGAAUUUAUAUUAGAUUAUAAUCAAAUAGAUUGGGCUUUAGAAUCAUUAGGUGCUAGAAUUGUAUAUAAAAUGACUAGUUCUCCAUUAAAUAAAAAUGAUUUUAUUGAAAAUUUUUUAAAUAAAAUUGCAUAUUUUUUACCAUCAGAAGAAAUUUAUGGUAUGAUUAAACCAAUGGGUAAAGACCCAUCUAUUAUUCUUAAACCAAAUAAUUACCCAGGUGAUUGUUUUUCUUUUUAUGGUAAUAAAGGAAAAAUAACAAUACAUUUACCUGCAACAAUUGAUAUAUCAUCAGUAUCUAUUCAACAUGUACAUGAAAACAUUAGUAAUAAUUUAAACGCAACACCCAAAUAUUUUUCUGUUUAUGCUGUUAUUGAUUCAAACUGGCCUGAACAUUUUGAACAAGAAGACAUUGAUUAUAAUGACUAUAAAAACAGUUCUCUUUACUCAUGUCUACAUUCUGUUUAUAACAAUAUGCAACCUGCCAUGCUUUUAAAAAAAUGGCUAGAAAAUGAAAAAAAACCCAAUGUUAUACAUAUUGGAGAUUUUUAUUUUGAUCGAAAAAAAAGAAUUGCAAAUUACCCCAUCAAACAUUGUUUGCCCGUUAAAAGGUAA
RNAcentral lists this long non-coding RNA (1176 nucleotides) under Piliocolobus tephrosceles (Ugandan red Colobus). Its description in RNAcentral is "lncRNA (ENSPTEG00000007598.1)". Lineage: Eukaryota; Metazoa; Chordata; Mammalia; Primates; Cercopithecidae. The record is from RNAcentral.